RNAcentral lists this ribosomal RNA (429 nucleotides) under uncultured Tolumonas sp. Its description in RNAcentral is "bacterial SSU rRNA". It matches the Rfam family "Bacterial small subunit ribosomal RNA", at positions 355 to 776 of the family's 1533-position model. Lineage: Bacteria; Pseudomonadati; Pseudomonadota; Gammaproteobacteria; Aeromonadales; Aeromonadaceae. The record is from RNAcentral.
UGGGGAAUAUUGCACAAUGGGGGAAACCCUGAUGCAGCCAUGCCGCGUGUGUGAAGAAGGCCUUCGGGUUGUAAAGCACUUUCAGUAGGGAGGAAGGGAUGAUGUCUAAUACGCAUCAUCAUUGACGUUACCUACAGAAGAAGCACCGGCUAACUCCGUGCCAGCAGCCGCGGUAAUACGGAGGGUGCAAGCGUUAAUCGGAAUAACUGGGCGUAAAGCGCACGCAGGCGGUUGGAUAAGUCAGAUGUGAAAUCCCCGGGCUCAACCUGGGAACUGCAUUUGAAACUGUCUGACUAGAGUCUUGUAGAGGGGGGUAGAAUUCCAGGUGUAGCGGUGAAAUGCGUAGAGAUCUGGAGGAAUACCGGUGGCGAAGGCGGCCCCCUGGACAAAGACUGACGCUCAGGUGCGAAAGCGUGGGGAGCAAACAGG